RNAcentral lists this long non-coding RNA (988 nucleotides) under Lathyrus oleraceus (garden pea). Its description in RNAcentral is "Pisum sativum (pea) long non-coding RNA (PSAT_LNC008130)". The record is from RNAcentral. Lineage: Eukaryota; Viridiplantae; Streptophyta; Magnoliopsida; Fabales; Fabaceae.
CAAAAUUCAAAAUUUAUUACAAUUAAAUCAUAAUUAAAAAAAUCUUAUAAAAUAAAUGUCAUAAUUAAAUUGCAGUAAAAAUAUAACUUUAUUUAUUUUGUCGCAUUUGAACGUCUUUAAUCUAUACAUGCCUCAAAAAAGUUAAACGACUCUUAGCAAGCAUAGAUGAUAAAUUCAAUUGCUUAGGGAUAAAAUAAAAUGUAAGAGCUAGAUGCUGGAAAAUAAUAUGUUCCAUCCAGCUUAUGGAGAAAAGAAUUACUAGCAGAAAAUAACACAAGUUUAUUUCCUCGAUCGAAUUUAAACAAUUUCUUGACCCUAAUUAAGAUUUACAAAAGUGGGAGAUCUAAUCAGUCAUUACAAAAAGGAUCUCUAUAUCUCAAACAUGAAGAAGAAGAAGAAGAAAAAUUGAGAGGGUGUGAAAAUCAAUUGAUCUCAAGAACUUCAGGAGCUUCCACAAUGCUCUCUAAAGAAGGUUUCCACCCCUCAGCUUUUUGUCUACCUUUCUCUAUCUCUUCAAGAACUUGUUCCACUUUCAUCCCUCCUUUCUCAUUCAAUCGAAAUAAUAGCCAUUUAAGCUCCUCUUUUGUUAGCACAAUUUUCAUGCUUACACCAUUUUUAUUAUCAUUCAUCUCUUCUUUUUGUUGAUGGAUCAUCUCCAUUGGCCUCAUCGUGUAUGUCUCCAUGCAAUUUCCCAUAACUGUGUUUAUGUGACCCUUAACCCUAAUGAAGAAUCAAGAAUAGAGAGAGAAGAGGUAUCUAUUUAUAUUCAUAAAGUUCAAUACUAUAGUCUAUAAAUGCAUGUGGUUAGUAGAUUCUGAAUGAUAGGUUCAUGGAAAUACUUGUAUAAAUAUUAUUAUUUUUUGCUUAAUGAAUGACGCAAAUUGAUUUAUUGUAUAUUAAAUAAUGAAUGAUUGAUACUGUACCAUUUGUCCUUGUUUCAUUUUAUUUUAGUAUUAAAAGCAUAGUGUUGUUUGAAAAUUUUGAUAAA